AGAGUUUGAUCAUGGCUCAGGACGAACGCUGGCGGCGUGCCUAACACAUGCAAGUCGAGCGAUGAAACCUUUCGGGGUGGAUUAGCGGCGGACGGGUGAGUAACACGUGGGUAACCUGCCUCAAAGAGGGGAAUAGCCUCCCGAAAGGGAGAUUAAUACCGCAUAAUAUGUUUUAAUCGCAUGAUUGAAAUAUCAAAGGAUUUUUCUUCGGAAAUUUCCACUUUGAGAUGGACCCGCGGCGCAUUAGCUAGUUGGUGAGGUAACGGCUCACCAAGGCAACGAUGCGUAGCCGACCUGAGAGGGUGAUCGGCCACAUUGGAACUGAGACACGGUCCAGACUCCUACGGGAGGCAGCAGUGGGGAAUAUUGCGCAAUGGGGGAAACCCUGACGCAGCAACGCCGCGUGAAUGAUGAAGGCCUUCGGGUUGUAAAGUUCUGUCUUCUGGGACGAUAAUGACGGUACCAGAGGAGGAAGCCACGGCUAACUACGUGCCAGCAGCCGCGGUAAUACGUAGGUGGCAAGCGUUGUCCGGAUUUACUGGGCGUAAAGGAUGCGUAGGCGGACAUUUAAGUCAGAUGUGAAAUACCCGAGCUUAACUUGGGUGCUGCAUUUGAAACUGGGUGUCUAGAGUGCAGGAGAGGUAAGUGGAAUUCCUAGUGUAGCGGUGAAAUGCGUAGAGAUUAGGAAGAACACCAGUGGCGAAGGCGACUUACUGGACUGUAACUGACGCUGAGGCAUGAAAGCGUGGGGAGCAAACAGGAUUAGAUACCCUAGUAGUCC
Molecule: ribosomal RNA, 781 nt
Filed under: uncultured bacterium
Lineage: Bacteria
Description: bacterial SSU rRNA
Rfam family: Bacterial small subunit ribosomal RNA
Source: RNAcentral